This 1421-nucleotide long non-coding RNA is filed under the name Bemisia tabaci. RNAcentral describes it as "lncRNA ENSSWEETPG007566". Lineage: Eukaryota; Metazoa; Arthropoda; Insecta; Hemiptera; Aleyrodidae. The record is from RNAcentral.
UCGGCAAUUAAUUUUUCAGACGGAGCCGGGCUCGAACCACGACGGCCGAGAUCAAUAUCCCCAAGAUCAGUGGGCACUUCACCGGGACUGGAGACCUCUUCGCGGGCGUUGUUCUUAGCCUGGUUCCACAGGUCCGAUCUCCCGACGGCCCUCGAGAAAGCUACCUCCACCGUCCAGGCUGUCUUGAAAAGGACCAACGAGUAUGUUGAAUCAUUGGGUGGAGGCGAGGGCUCCAAGCAUGAUCGAGAACUGAAAAUCAUACAGAGCAAAGCGAUAUCGAGAAUCCUGAAGUUGUUCACAAAGCCGCAGUGAAGAUCGUGUGAAAAGAAGUUCAACGCGCCCGUUUUCAACCGACCAAACCUGAAAUCCGUCUUCCAUGACAAUAAUAUAUAAUUAUAUUGAUGUACUGAUUCUAUAUUUUAGAGUUAAAUACUUUUUUGUUAGCCGCGAUCUUGUCUUUGAUAGAUCACGUGAUAACUCUGAGGCUGAGAUCGUAACUUUCACUGUCUCUGGUAAUUUUCCUAGGAAAUAAGAAUUCGCCAAACCCCUCAAUGAACUUUAUUAUGGAAGAAAUAAGUUAGUUCUAAAUGUUUUUCUGAUCUAUUUUUUCGAAGGUCUCAAAAUUUGCCUACUUCCUCAGAGGAAUCUGAGGUACCUCUUUGGGAUGAAUAUUUAGUAUUUUCAAUACUACUACUUAUGCUACUUUAACCAGUAUUUCUCGUCUUCCUUAAAUUAUGGUAAAUAUAUUUAAAGGUUUAGGUCCCUUUUGUGUGUAACAUUUCUCAUGAUUUUAUGAUAAGCAACUGAUUAGAGCCUUACUGUCAAGUAGCAAGUCCGAGUAAAUAGGCGGCAAUUACUUUUUUAAAUCACAGUAAUACUUUUAGGUAAGACUAUAAAACCAAACUCUAAGAACAUUGCAUAAUGAACAUCACUAAGAGAGUGCUGUUUGCAUUUAAUCGCACAUCAUUCAAGUUUCCUUUUGUUAAAAUUUUUUUUACGACUAAGUUUUUUUUUUCUUUUUAUUCUUUUUUUCUUUAUAUUGGGUAACCAUUCUUUGUUCUCUUUAAGUUUUUAAUAGUUUUGAAAUGUCUUAUAUUUUAUUAUUUCAUUUCCAAAAAAGCUGUUCAAUCGAGCUGUGACGAUUUGAGGUGCGAGUAACGAUUUUAAUUUUUAUCUAUCAUCGACGAGUGAUCAUUUCUACUUAAUUUAAGUAUUUCCGACAGUGAAUCGAGCCAUUUGUUACAUAAUUGCUGUGCGCUUGUUUCUACUAAUUUUAGAGUUUCUGAUAGUGAAUCAAGCCAUUUGUUACCAGAUCAUUGUGCGCCAGUAAUUGUUUUAUGAGUGAUAAGAUCAAUUAUCAUGUCUAGCUUUUUCAUGUUAUACCCGCUGCGUGAAAUAAUUUGAUAUGCUCGGUUAAAAAU